GUGGGGAAUAUUGCACAAUGGGCGAAAGCCUGAUGCAGCGACGCCGCGUGCGGGAUGACGGCCUUCGGGUUGUAAACCGCUUUCAGCAGGGAAGAAGCUUUUGUGACGGUACCUGCAGAAGAAGCGCCGGCUAACUACGUGCCAGCAGCCGCGGUAAUACGUAGGGCGCGAGCGUUAUCCGGAAUUAUUGGGCGUAAAGAGCUUGUAGGCGGUUUGUCGCGUCUGCUGUGAAAAGUUCGGGCUUAACCCGGACCGUGCAGUGGGUACGGGCUGACUGGAGUGCAGUAGGGGAGACUGGAAUUCCUGGUGUAGCGGUGAAAUGCGCAGAUAUCAGGAGGAACACCGAUGGCGAAGGCAGGUCUCUGGGCUGUUACUGACGCUGAGAAGCGAAAGCAUGGGGAGCGAACAGGAUUAGAAACCCUAGUAGUCC
Molecule: ribosomal RNA, 430 nt
Filed under: uncultured bacterium
Lineage: Bacteria
Description: bacterial SSU rRNA
Rfam family: Bacterial small subunit ribosomal RNA
Source: RNAcentral